UACACAGAGCUAAGUGACUGAGAACCUAGAAGAUGGAGUAGGACAAGGAGUGGCCAAAGGCAGUGGAGAGAGGGAGGAGGAGCAAAGCCUGAAAUCUGGAAAUCAAUGCAUAUGUAUUUCAAUCCACAGUUGCUUUGGCUGCUGAUACAAAUCAAAGGAAGAAGGAGGGAGAUGCAGGGAAAAAAUGUAAACAGCUAGCUCUACCACCCUCUGAUUUUUUUUAACAGUCUAUGAUAAGAGGAGAUGAAUGCCUGCUAAAGCGACCAGAAGGCUCUCAGUAAAAAGUAUUAACUAGAUAUCAAUAGAAUCUGCAAAACGAAGAGGUGCUUGAAAGAUGUGAAAGAGGAAACUUAAAGAGAAACCCAGAUGGCACAUCUCCCUUCCUGGCUAGAUAGAUGGAAUGUACAGCCAGAGGAUUGGAUGAGGUCAUCCACAGAGAGAAUGCAGAGAGGAUCCUGGGGCUCACCAACAUGAAGAAUUUGGGACAAGAAAGAAGAUCCAGCAGAGAAGACUGAAAGAAGGCAGCUAAUGAAAUAGGAGAGAACCUGGAGAGCACAGAGUCUUAGAGGCCAAGAAAGUGGUUUAAUAUAAUCCCUAUCAAAGCAUUUGUGGUUUAUUUUUGUUAACUGACAAAAGGAUUCUAAAACAUACCUGAAAAGUAUAAUUCACACCUAGGAUAAUGGAUCAUUCUGUCACAUUGUUCCUUUUUCACAGCUGAUAUGAACAUGAUAUUUUCAUGACUUUGUAAAAUAAAAAUGGAAUCUAAUUUUUUUUUAAAAAACUGCUUACUUAUGUAAGCCUUCUGUCUCUCACCGUAUAACCCCUCGACUUUUAUAUGGGGCACACAUGUUUCUGUCACUUUCCUGGAGCCCUUGUAGCAAAUUAAUAAAAUGUAGCACAUGCUU
This is a long non-coding RNA of Gorilla gorilla gorilla (western lowland gorilla), 905 nucleotides long. RefSeq lists it as uncharacterized. NCBI's taxonomy places the organism in Eukaryota, Metazoa, Chordata, Mammalia, Primates, Hominidae. The record is from RefSeq and is a predicted model, not a curated record. The transcript is spliced from 3 exons.